This is a long non-coding RNA of Raphanus sativus (radish), 1508 nucleotides long. RefSeq lists it as uncharacterized. The record is from RefSeq and is a predicted model, not a curated record. The transcript is spliced from 4 exons. Lineage: Eukaryota; Viridiplantae; Streptophyta; Magnoliopsida; Brassicales; Brassicaceae.
AGUUCUGGAGACGCCAACUAAGUUAACCUUUGCUACAUCUCCGUUGGGCUGAUCUGCCGCCGUAAUGUCAGAAAGAUGUUCUAUCGACUCCCACCGAAGAUACGGAGGCGUAACGGUUGUCGAUUGGACUCACUCAACACAUUUAACGAUGUCAUUAACGCCACUGACCCUCUCUUCCCACGACUUCUCCUCUUUCAUGGUUGCUAAUCUACUCCUAUAAAAAGAGAGUUUGAUUCUGUAAAGUUUAUCACUUUCUUCUUCUCAAUUCUUAUAAUCCUCACAAAUCCACACACCCGGAGUGGCAACCUCUUCCUAUCUGCUCGCCGACUCGAAAGCAUACUGUAUAUUCAUAAAAUUUUAACCGGUAAGGCGAGAUAAAGCAGAUAAACAAUUGAUUCAUCAAUCAGAGGAAGAGGAAUUGGCAACAACCGGGGUAGUAUUAGAAAUCAACAUUUUGUGCAAUUACAACAUUUAGUAGAAUGCAAACAAUCGUGGAUUUAUGUAGGUGGGGAACGCUAAAGAAAAAGUUGACGCAGAAACGAUGUAGCAUCUGACCCUGGAGAUCACUGGGGCUGGGAAAAAGAAGCUUUAUGAAGAAAAAGUGUAGGUGAAGCCAAGGUUGAACUUGAAGGAGUUGCAGGAGUUCAAGCCUGCCGGUGAUGUUGCCUCUACCAUCACUCCUUCCUAUCUUGGUUGCAACUAAGGUAUGACUACAAGUGUUACAUAGAUGCCGGAAAAACAAAGAUUAAUCUGGAUGACCUUAUUAGAGGAUUGUUGUUCUUCUGCGGACUACAUACACGGACAUUGUCAGAAAACUUGCAAAGGAGUUCAAAAUGAUCUCACCCGAGAAAGUCAUUUAUAAGCUGAUUCAUCCUAAGCAAGCUCACCAAAUUAGCAGAAGCGGUAGAUGAAGAGAGGAAAGUAGAGACAAUAAUGGUGACAAUGAUUCCUUUACGGAUUGUACGGAAAGAUUGGCAGUGACUACAUCAACAAAUACUCCAAAAAGAAGAAAGGUUAUGGAAAAUGCAGUGGAUGGCUUCAACGUAGCAAGCUUUUGCCAUGUCCAACAGUGUACGAGUUUUCUUAUGAUGAGUGGAAUAAUUGAUUGAGGAAGAAAACUAAGCUGAUAAUCGGCAGAAGCUUCAAAAAUUACGCUUUGUUGGAAGUGACACAAAUAUAAGGCAAAUGGAUGUUGAGGAUGGCACUGGCCAAUGCAGGUACUUCAGUGAACAAAAGUGCAAUUCGAGCUUGCUGUGUGGACUCCAUCGAGGGUACUUCUGCUGCUAAUAAGGAUUUGAGAGCCUUGACAAGCCAUUCAUAGCUUCAAUCAAGACGGAAAUGAGUCCCAAGGCAUACUGAUAUUGGAUUAGAGUGGAUAAACAAGUUGGAAAAGCUGUGCUGGAGACAAGUAGAAAUCAUUUUCAGAUAUUGCAUAUUCUCUCAAGUUAAUACUUACCCAUAAUUGUGUUCUCUGUUGUCGUGUUCUUAAAUUAAGUCUAAAACCUGCA